AGGUAGUCCCUGGUGCCCUAAGG
This 23-nucleotide microRNA is filed under the name Human gammaherpesvirus 8. Its description in RNAcentral is "kshv-miR-K12-5-5p". Its record names the gene kshv-miR-K12-5-5p. The record is from miRBase by way of RNAcentral. Lineage: Duplodnaviria; Heunggongvirae; Peploviricota; Herviviricetes; Herpesvirales; Orthoherpesviridae.